RNAcentral lists this ribosomal RNA (253 nucleotides) under uncultured bacterium. Its description in RNAcentral is "partial 16S ribosomal RNA". It matches the Rfam family "Bacterial small subunit ribosomal RNA", at positions 524 to 776 of the family's 1533-position model. The record is from RNAcentral.
UACGUAGGGGGCAAGCGUUGUCCGGAUUUAUUGGGCGUAAAGGGUGCGUAGGUGGCGCUGUAAGUCGGGUGUGAAAUUUCGGAGCUUAACUCCGAAACUGCAUUCGAUACUGCGGUGCUUGAGGACUGGAGAGGAGACUGGAAUUCAUGGUGUAGCAGUGAAAUGCGUAGAGAUCAUGAGGAAGACCAGUGGCGAAGGCGGGUCUCUGGACAGUUACUGACACUGAGGCACGAAGGCCAGGGGAGCAAACGGG